CCUACGGGAGGCAGCAGUGAGGAAUAUUGGUCAAUGGGCGAGAGCCUGAACCAGCCAAGUCGCGUGAGGGAGUACUGCCCUAUGGGUUGUAAACCUCUUUUGUCGGGGAGCAAAAGCCGGACGUGUCCGGCUGUGAGAGUACACGAAGAAAAAGCAUCGGCUCACUCCGUGCGAGCAGCCGCGGUAAUACGGAGGAUGCGAGCGUUAUCCGGAUUUAUUGGGUGUAAAGGGUGCGUAGGCGGUCCGUUAAGUCAGCGGUAAAAUUGCGGGGCUCAACCCUGUUGAGCCGUUGAAACAGGCGGACGUGAGUUGACGAGAGGUACGCGGAAUGCGUGGUGUAGCGGUGAAAUGCAUAGAUAUCGCGCAGAACUCCGAUUGCGAAGGCAGCGUACCGGCGCCAGACUGACGCUGAGGCACGAAAGCGUGGGGAUCGAACAGGAUUAGAUACCCUGGUAGUC
Molecule: ribosomal RNA, 458 nt
Filed under: uncultured bacterium
Lineage: Bacteria
Description: partial 16S ribosomal RNA
Rfam family: Bacterial small subunit ribosomal RNA
Source: RNAcentral